AUGAAGACACCUCUUAAGAAUAAAAUCUUUGCAUGAUAUCUUCGUUGCGGAGUCAUUCCUACUAAAGAUAACCUUAUUAAUAGGAAUUGGCAUGGAAGCCCACAAUGUGUCUUUUGUCAUCAUGAGGAGACAAUGAAACAUUUAUUCUUCCAAUGCAAAUUGGCUCGUUCUAUAUGGUCAGUCAUUCAAAUAGCUUCUGACUUGUAUCCUCCCUGUAGUGUUGCUAAUGUAUUUGACAAUUGGUUACAUAGGAUUGAUCACAUGUUUAGAACUCUUCUCAGGUGGGAGCGCUUGCCAUUAUUUGGUCGCUUUGGCUAUAUACAAAUGAUAAGGUUUUAA
RNAcentral lists this ribosomal RNA (339 nucleotides) under Triticum aestivum (bread wheat). RNAcentral's name for it is "partial small subunit ribosomal RNA". The record is from RNAcentral. Lineage: Eukaryota; Viridiplantae; Streptophyta; Magnoliopsida; Poales; Poaceae.